GAUCCUGGCUCAGGACGAACGCUGGCGGCGUGCCUAACACAUGCAAGUCGAACGGGACUAUUGAAGAAGCUUGCUUUUGAAAUGGUCAAGUGCGGACGGGUGAGUAACGCGUGAGGACCUGUCUCCGGCAGGGGGACAACAUUUGGAAACGGAUGCUAAUACCGCAUAAGCCGAGAGGUGAAAGGAGCAAUCCGGCAGGAGAGGGACUCGCGUUCUAUCAGCUAGUAGGCGGGGUAAAGGCCCACUAGGCG
This 251-nucleotide ribosomal RNA is filed under the name uncultured bacterium. RNAcentral describes it as "partial 16S ribosomal RNA". It matches the Rfam family "Bacterial small subunit ribosomal RNA", at positions 15 to 275 of the family's 1533-position model. The record is from RNAcentral.